CCUACGGGAGGCAGCAGUGAGGAAUAUUGGACAAUGGGUGAGAGCCUGAUCCAGCCAUCCCGCGUGAAGGAUGACGGUCCUAUGGAUUGUAAACUUCUUUUGUACAGGGAUAAACCUACCCUCGUAAGGGUAGCUGAAGGUACUGUACGAAUAAGCACCGGCUAACUCCGUGCCAGCAGCCGCGGUAAU
Molecule: ribosomal RNA, 189 nt
Filed under: uncultured bacterium
Lineage: Bacteria
Description: partial 16S ribosomal RNA
Rfam family: Bacterial small subunit ribosomal RNA
Source: RNAcentral